Felis catus (domestic cat) is the source of this 583-nucleotide long non-coding RNA. RefSeq lists it as uncharacterized. The record is from RefSeq and is a predicted model, not a curated record. The transcript has 2 exons. NCBI's taxonomy places the organism in Eukaryota, Metazoa, Chordata, Mammalia, Carnivora, Felidae.
ACGUACCUGUAGGAGGCAGACCGUAGACCGAGGGGUCAAGGGCACCGUCAUCGCCUAUCCACGCGGCCAGGCCCUCCACGGCCCCUCCUCCCCUUCUCAUCUCAGGCUUUUCCCACUCGGGACCCUCGUCUUGUCCUUCAGGGGAGACCAGCUGUGGCUUUGAAGGGUGAGGCCCUAACUUGCUGGAAGGCAAUGGAUUUAGGCAACGAGGGAUGUGCUGGGCAUCCUGACUGGGCGCUGAGGAGUCUAUGGAUUGUUCCGGCUGGUGACUCUGAGAGGAUAGGUCCUAGCAUUUGCUUAGAGGAUUUGUCUUUGGGGUCAUUGGGAACAUCUCUGCAAACUUUGGUAACAGACUCGACUGCCAGGGAGAACGAUGGCAGGAGGACACCAUUUUCCAGUGGAGAGCACAUAAUGGGGAACCCAAAGACCGACCGUCAUGGUGACCGUGCUUCAGACAGAAUGCCUGAUGUUUCCAUCCUGGCUGAACGCCUUUCUCACUCUUCCUAAGUCCUUUGGUCUGCCCCUCCCCCCUUCUCUGGGCGGCUAACUCGACAUACCAUUAAAUGUGAGCAAUUGUGAGCAA